UACGUAGGGGGCAAGCGUUGUCCGGAUUUAUUGGGCGUAAAGAGCGUGUAGGCGGCCUGGAAGGUCAGCUGUGAAAACUCGAGGCUCAACCUCGAGACGUCGGUUGAAACCACCUGGCUAGAGUCCGGAAGAGGAGAGUGGAAUUCCCGGUGUAGCGGUGAAAUGCGCAGAUAUCGGGAAGAACACCCGUGGCGAAGGCGGCUCACUGGCCCGAUACUGACGCUGAGGCACGAAAGCGUGGGGAGCAAACAGG
Molecule: ribosomal RNA, 253 nt
Filed under: uncultured bacterium
Lineage: Bacteria
Description: partial 16S ribosomal RNA
Rfam family: Bacterial small subunit ribosomal RNA
Source: RNAcentral